UCAAUAGCCUAAUGGUUAAGGUUACGGAUUUCUGAUCACGAGGUCGUGGGUUCGAAUCCCGCCAUUUGAC
This is a non-coding RNA of Papilio xuthus (Asian swallowtail), 70 nucleotides long. The record is from Rfam. Lineage: Eukaryota; Metazoa; Arthropoda; Insecta; Lepidoptera; Papilionidae.